Molecule: long non-coding RNA, 955 nt
Organism: Branchiostoma floridae (Florida lancelet)
Lineage: Eukaryota; Metazoa; Chordata; Leptocardii; Amphioxiformes; Branchiostomatidae
Exons: 3
Source: RefSeq, a predicted model, not a curated record
CCACGCAUGGUCCCCAUCUAUUGAAUUCGUUCAUUCAACAUUAGGACGACUAUACCGUAGUGAAUCAUGAUCGUUCGCCAUUCCAUCGACCCUGUAGAGGCCCCUCUACCGAACCCAAAUCUCCGGGGCAAGCAGCUGGUCGCCCCGGAGGAUGGCACGAACCACACCGCCUACGAUGUCUUUCUCCAGCCGGGUGAUAGUGUAUGUUUGACAUCGCCCCCCUCCCCCCUCCUGAACCACGUGUACUACAUGUGUGUCGGGGAGUGCAGCAGGCACAGCAUCCAACGGCCAAGUGUACGAGUUUGCUGCUGAUGUGGUAGUGGCGUUUUCAUCCAGUAUCAGUUGUACGGUUCAGGUCACAUCUGGUGAAAAGCUCCGCCUCUUCUGCAUCUAUUGUGAUGACGUCGAGCCGACUGUUGAUCGGGCCGUGACUCGGUCGCUUUCGGAGAUUGUCGGUACCGAUCGUGACAUCGACUGGGGCCGAGGCCACAGCCGAAGGUUUCUGAAGAAGUCGGACGGGUUCCCGAUCAGUGUUCACAACACCUAUGUGGAAGCUGGUACAAACAGUGCUCUGUGCUACAAACAUCACCUUGAAUCUGCCUACUACGUGAAAGGCAGAGCCACUUACACGUGGGAAGAGGGUGUCCAGAAGGCGGAGACGCGUAUAGAUGCUACUAACGGAACCGUGUACAGUAUGAACGAGCAUGACGCACACCACGCGAUCGCGCACGAGGACGCCGUGGCCCUGUGUGUGUUCCACCCAGUCUUGGUUGGCAACGAGAACCACGAUUUCAGCGGAGAGUACUCUGGGUACAAGCCUUCCAAAUGAUGUUCGUUAGAUCAACCUACUUGGUUAGAUUAAAAGUUGUUUCACUUGAAGAAGAAAAGGGGUGGCGGUUUCGCUUGAAACUUUUGAUAUCCCCUUCUUUCAAGAUGAAAUAACUGAACUAUUGAA